UACGUAGGGUCCGAGCGUUGUCCGGAAUUAUUGGGCGUAAAGAGCUCGUAGGCGGUUUGUCGCGUCUGCUGUGAAAUCCCGAGGCUCAACCUCGGGUCUGCAGUGGGUACGGGCAGACUGGAGUGCGGUAGGGGAGAAUGGAAUUCCUGGUGUAGCGGUGGAAUGCGCAGAUAUCAGGAGGAACACCGAUGGCGAAGGCAGUUCUCUGGGCCGUAACUGACGCUGAUGCGCGAAAGCCAGGGGAGCGAACGGG
Molecule: ribosomal RNA, 253 nt
Filed under: uncultured bacterium
Lineage: Bacteria
Description: partial 16S ribosomal RNA
Rfam family: Bacterial small subunit ribosomal RNA
Source: RNAcentral